Molecule: small RNA, 269 nt
Organism: Staphylococcus aureus subsp. aureus NCTC 8325
Lineage: Bacteria; Bacillati; Bacillota; Bacilli; Caryophanales; Staphylococcaceae
Rfam family: Staphylococcus sRNA 35 (srn_0335)
About the family: Other name: Srn_0335, SAOUHSCs258. Northern blot transcript confirmed in exponentially growing and stationary cells in three cultivation media.
Source: Rfam
UAGAACCUUUUCUGGGGAGUGGGACAGAAAUGAUAUUUUCGCAAAAUUUAUUUCGCCGUCCCACCCCAACUUGCAUUGUCUGUAGAAAUUGGGAAUCCAAUUUCUCUUUGUUGGGGCCCCGCCCCAACUCGCAUUGCCUGUAGAAUUUCUUUUCGAAAUUCUCUGUGUUGGGGCCCCUGACUAGAAUUGAAAAAAGCUUAUUACAAGCGCAUUUUCGUUCAGUCAAUUACUGCCAAUAUAACUUCGUAGAUCAUAGAACAUUGAUUUAU